RNAcentral lists this ribosomal RNA (580 nucleotides) under uncultured delta proteobacterium. RNAcentral describes it as "bacterial SSU rRNA". It matches the Rfam family "Bacterial small subunit ribosomal RNA", at positions 346 to 916 of the family's 1533-position model. The record is from RNAcentral. Lineage: Bacteria; Deltaproteobacteria.
AGGCAGCAGUGGGGAAUAUUGCGCAAUGGGGGAAACCCUGACGCAGCGACGCCGUGUGAGUGAUGAAGGUUUUCGGAUCGUAAAGCUCUGUCGGGUGGAAAGAAUAAAGGCUGUGUAAAUAAUGCAGUCUGAUGACGGUACCACCAAAGGAAGCACCGGCUAACUCCGUGCCAGCAGCCGCGGUAAUACGGAGGGUGCAAGCGUUGUUCGGAAUUAUUGGGCGUAAAGGGCGUGUAGGCGGGUAUACAGGUCAGGUGUGAAAUCCCUCGGCUCAACCGAGGAAGUGCAUUUGAAACCGUAUAUCUUGAGUACGAGAGAGGCAGAUGGAAUUCCCAGUGUAGAGGUGAAAUUCAUAGAUAUUGGGAAGAACACCGGUGGCGAAGGCGGUCUGCUGGCUCGAUACUGACGCUGAGACGCGAAAGCGUGGGGAGCAAACAGGAUUAGAUACCCUGGUAGUCCACGCUGUAAACGAUGUGCACUAGGUGUUGGGGGUAAUUAAACCUUCAGUGCCGCAGCUAACGCAUUAAGUGCACCGCCUGGGGAUUACGGUCGCAAGACUAAAACUCAAAUGAAUUGACGG